Molecule: ribosomal RNA, 253 nt
Filed under: uncultured bacterium
Lineage: Bacteria
Description: partial 16S ribosomal RNA
Rfam family: Bacterial small subunit ribosomal RNA
Source: RNAcentral
UACGAAGGGGGCGAGCGUUGUUCGGAUUUACUGGGCGUAAAGGGCGCGCAGGCGGUUCUGUUUGUCGAGUGUGAAAGCCCCGGGCUCAACCUGGGAACUGCGCUCGAAACGGCGGAACUAGAGUUCGGGAGAGGAGAGUGGAAUUCCCAGUGUAGAGGUGAAAUUCGUAGAUAUCGGGAGGAACACCGGUGGCGAAGGCGGCGAUCUGGGUAGAUACUGACGCUGAGGUGCGAAAGCGUGGGGAGCAAACAGG